ACGGAAGGCAGCAGUGGGGAAUAUUGGGCAAUGGGGGCAACCCUGACCCAGCAACGCCGCGUGAAGGAAGAAGGCUUUCGGGUUGUAAACUUCUUUGACGAGGGACGAAAGGAAUGACGGUACCUCGAAAACAAGCCACGGCUAACUACGUGCCAGCAGCCGCGGUAAUACGUAGGUGGCAAGCGUUGUCCGGAUUUACUGGGUGUAAAGGGCGCGUAGGCGGGGAAUCAAGUCAGAUGUGAAAUGCUCAGGCUUAACCUGGGAGCUGCAUUUGAAACCGAUUUUCUUGAGUAUCGGAGAGGCAGGCGGAAUUCCUAGUGUAGCGGUGAAAUGCGUAGAGAUGGGGAGGAACACCAGUGGCGAAGGCGGCCUGCUGGGCCUUAACUGACGCUGAGGCACGAAAGCGUGGGUAGCAAACAGGAUUAGAUACCCUGGUA
Molecule: ribosomal RNA, 437 nt
Filed under: uncultured Sporobacter sp.
Lineage: Bacteria; Bacillati; Bacillota; Clostridia; Eubacteriales; Oscillospiraceae
Description: partial 16S ribosomal RNA
Rfam family: Bacterial small subunit ribosomal RNA
Source: RNAcentral